Long non-coding RNA from Gopherus evgoodei (Goodes thornscrub tortoise), 115 nucleotides. RefSeq lists it as uncharacterized. The record is from RefSeq and is a predicted model, not a curated record. Lineage: Eukaryota; Metazoa; Chordata; Testudines; Testudinidae. The transcript has 3 exons.
CAGCUUCAGCUGCUAUUUCUCAGGGGUUUUCAAACUGGGGGUCAGGACCCUGCAGGGGGUUGCGAGAUUACUACAUGAGAGGUUGCGAGCUGUCAACCUCCACCCCAAACCCCGC